ACCUGGAUUAGUGGUUGCCCUUUUAAUUUAUGAUUCAAUUUCUUUUGUGUUUCUAAAAGCAUUUUGCAUGAUUAAAAUUUGGUUUACAAGUGUAAGAGAGCACCAUGUUUUCAUGCAGGUCUUGCAGUCCCUUUAUUAAUUUCUAUUGUCUUUAAGUGUGAUGUAUUGUCAAUCAAGGUGAACCACCUAGUUUUUUGGUUUUUACAACUUUUUCUCUUUGAUCUGCCAUUCCUGGGUUAAGUAUAAAAAGCAUUACCUUUUCAUUCUCUAUGUUGUGUGUUGGGGGCAUUGCUUGAUAUGCAAGAGUCAAAGAGAUGUGCAUUUUCCCCACCUCUCCG
This 338-nucleotide unclassified non-coding RNA is filed under the name Hevea brasiliensis (rubber tree). The record is from RNAcentral. Lineage: Eukaryota; Viridiplantae; Streptophyta; Magnoliopsida; Malpighiales; Euphorbiaceae.